Oreochromis niloticus (Nile tilapia) is the source of this 3917-nucleotide long non-coding RNA. RefSeq lists it as uncharacterized. The record is from RefSeq and is a predicted model, not a curated record. NCBI's taxonomy places the organism in Eukaryota, Metazoa, Chordata, Actinopteri, Cichliformes, Cichlidae. The transcript is spliced from 2 exons.
AGGAAUCUUGUGUGAGUUCAGAAAAUAAUUUACAAGAAGAAUUAGAAGAAAAACGUCCGUCUGAAGAAAACUGAGGCAGUGAUGUAAGCUGAGACAGUUUCACCCCGAGCUACAACUGCAUCAGAUAACCACACACAGGGGAAGGAAGUCCCCACAUGCUGAGAAAUCAUCAGCGCACUACCCAACACUGUAGUUGCUCUAGUCCAAAUUUAUAGCAGAAAUAAACCUGUUCAUAUGCUGAUAUAAAGUUCCUUUAGCCUAUAUGAACACUUUAUUACUCUAAAAACCAUACAGGAAGUGAUUUUAAAAAAAACCCACACGCACUUUAAACGAAGUUUUAGGCCUUAAGAGUAGAGUUUGAGCAACAGGUGGAUGGUGAACAGGCAGUAACCUCAUCUAAUGUAAGUCCUAGAAGUUCUGGAAGUGGACCUCUGUUCAAUCUUUUUGGAUGGCUAAUGGAAUAAGCUGAAAAAACACAUGGCAUGCUGUGCGAUACGUCCCACACGUUUGUACUUCAGUGUACAUACAAGAUUUUAUUAGCCUGAUGCUGCAGUGAUUUGCAAUUUAAUUCAAUUUUAUUUAUACAGCACCAAAUCACAACAAGUCACCUCAAGGUUCUUUAUAUUGUAAAAUAAAAACCCUACAAUAAUACAGAGAAACACCCAACAAUAUGAGCCCCUAUGAGCAAGUGCUUUGGCGACAGUGGGAAGGAGAAACUCCCUUUUAACAGGAAGAAACCUCCGACAGAACCAGGCUCAGGGAGGGGCGGGGCCAUCUGCUGCAACCGGUUGGAGGUCGUCUUUACAGGCAGCCUACUAACCAAGUUAGCCAGCAUGCUAAAGCUGAGACCUCAGUCUAAAGUCUGUGUGUGAUAUCCAGAGAUGGGCAGUAAUGCGUUACUGUAAUCCAAUUACUUUUUUCAAAUAGCAAGUAAUGUAAGGGAUUACUAUUGCAAAAAAUUAGAUUACUGUUACUUUAGCACACUGCGUUACUAAACUCUUAUGAUUUUGCUUAUGACAUUAUUUUAUUUUAUAUGCUGGAAUAUGCAGAAAAUAGGCUUCAAUGUUAAACAAUUUCUUCAAGUCAAAGACUGUUGUAUAUAAUUUAAUUUUUGCUUGAUGCAUAAAGUUAAAAGAUUAAAAGUAAUAAAACAAGUUUUAAAAAGAGGCUUUCCAUUUGAUUCACUUUUAUAAGAUAAUUAUGCAUAAAAAAUAGAAUUGGGCUGCAGGGAUUGGGCUGCUGCUUUAUUACACAUUCAGGUUGUGUAUCAUGUUUUUAAAAAGUAACUAAGUAACUCAUUACUUUUGAAAAUAAGUAAUCAGUAAAGUAACAGGAUUUUUUUGGAGAAGUAAUCUUAAUUAGUUACUAAUUACUUCUUUCAAGUAACUUGACCAACACUUGUGGUGUCUGGUGUAUGUCAUACAGAGUCAGCUGAUCUGAAACACAUUUGAUUUACAAGGUAAGUAAGAAACCAUUUCAUACAGCUGAGGUAAAUGUUGAUAAAAGUUCGACCAGCUGUCUGAACUAAAACGUUUGGUUGGUGGGUGGGCGUGUCCUAGAUGGGCAGGCUCUACUGAAGGAUUCAUGCGUGAAGUAUUACUCAAGGCCAAACUGGCAAAGACUGAGAGGCAUCAAGAGGUCGCAGGGCCCUGCAGCCAAACAAACACACACACAUGAAAACAUCCAGGGAUUCAUGAGUUUAAUGUUUCUGAAGUCCUCAUCACAACCGUGACUGAACACAAAGUAAGAGCAGGAGGUUUCCGGGCUCCCGUCCUGAUGCCCGUCGGUGUUCCUGAUGUAAACGAGAGAAGCGAGCUUCAGUGAAAACGUAACGUGGGAGUGAUUCUCGAUGAAAUCAGCAACGCAAAGAAGGCGAGCUCUCGGUUUGUGCUGCGGUCCUCCCUGCAGGCCUCCUCUCACGCUUUCAGACUGUUUGUUUCCGACUCCAGUGCGUUGCCACGGAAACCCGUGUUUAACAGCAGGUGAGGGGAGGAAGGAAACGCCACCUCUCCACCUCCAGCCCUCCGGCUCCUUUUUGCCUCCUCAGUCUGAAGCAAAAGUGUGUGAAGAGUGAAAAAGUGUCACACAGAGUUUGUAAUUCAGUCUUAAAUGCGUCUGGAGAAAGAAUCCAGCUCCUCAAACUGCUUCCAGAUCAGCUCAUUAAGCCCAGCAGAGCAGGAGGGGGGGGCACUCACAUUAACAGCACGCAGCGGGCGAACAGAAGCCAGGCCAGGAUUCCUGCGAGGUGGCGUCAUGUGCAGCUGUACGUCCCCGGGGUCCAGACCCGGUCAGGACGGGUGGAGACUCAGGGUGGAGGGGUGGGGCUGAAGUCAAAAACAUUAAUUUCUAUUAUCCUGACAUGUGGAUGUUGUCUGCUGUUGUUUCAUUGUCCAGUUUACGGUAGAAUCACCUCUCGUGACCUCUCGUUUCAGUCAAACGGACCGUGACGCAGCUCCCCCGGUUUCAACCUGUCUGAAAACUUUCUUCUGAUUGGCUCAGAAGAUUUGAACAGAAGCAAGAAGGGAGCAUACUGGAUCAAUAAACAUCACGUUGUAUAAAAUAAGACAUUAAAUUGCUGUUGAAGCUACAUGAGGGAUGAAAGUCAGUAGAAGCAAAACAGAAUCCAUGUGUGUGAAUGAGACGGAGGCAGGUGGAAAGGUGAACAUGUAAGCAAAGAGAGGAGUUUAAAUACCUGGGCUCAACCAUCCAAAGCAACAGACAGCGCACAAGAGAGGUGAAGAGAGUGCAUGCAGGGUGGAGUGGGUGGAGACGGGUGCCGUUUAUUGAGACAGGAUAGCAGGAAGAGUGAAAGGGAAGGUGUAAAGAUGGAGGUGAGACCUGCUGUGAUGUAUCGUUUGGAGACGGCCGAGCUGAAGACGUUCAGAUGUUCACGAGCGGGAUGGACGGGUUUAGAAAUGAGUCCGUCAAAGGGACGGAGAUGGUUUCAGCACGUGCAGAGAAGGAUGGAUGGAGCUUCCAGGCAGGAGGAGACUGUGGAUGAAGGAGGACAUGCAGAGACAUGACAGAGGAGGAUGCUGGGAUAGGAGGAGAUGGACGCAGAUGAUCUGCUGUGGCGCCCCCUACAGCAAGCAACCAGAAGAAAAAGUAGCAGUUGGUGACUGGAACGUUACUGUGCUGGAAAUGUGGUAAUUUGGACCAAAACCAAUAAAACUCCAGUUUGAAAGUCAGUAGAAUUCCAGCAUGAAUAAUAACUGGUAACGAUUUGUUGUUACAUUUGCUCGUUUGGGCACUCUUCUGCUCCUGUGCACCUCCCCUCUGUCAUUCGCUGAUAACUUCCACAGAUGAAGUGAAGACAGCUGCUGGUGACUUUGAGUGGAUUAUAUGGAGAAAAUAAUUAUUAAUCAGCUGUUUGGAUUCUCCAUGAAUACUGAAUGACCCAUCCGUCUUCAUUUAAAGCUUUAUUCUCUCGUGUUGUUGUCACGUGAUAAUUACGCUGCAGGCAGAAACAUGUUCAGAACAAAGAUGCAUCAGUAGUGAACGCUGUCAACCUUUCUUCUCCUUAUGCUUCAUAUUAAGAGCAAUAUGUUAAAAAUAGAACGGAACAAAACCAUGUGACUCCACUUUUCCUUUAAUUCAUUUCUGUACAUACACCAGCACCGAACUCCACUUCCUGUCCACAGAGGCUCGUUUGUGCGUCGAUAAAUUAUUUUUUCAUUUGAUAAACUUCACACUGACUCUUCCUGUUUGGUCAGAUGGACCCAAACUUUGUCUAACUGCACCUGGAUCUUAUCCUGAACAUUUUCACUGCUGUCCGUGAAGUCCCACGGCGCCCUCUGCCCAUCGUCCUCAGCCGUCUCCUUCGUCCUCGUGGUCGUGAUGGGAGCCGAUGUCCUGUAGGUCGGGCGGCUCCUCCAGCGCCUCGUGAUGGGCAUGCUGGAUUGACACCAUGCCGGUCA